GAAAAGGCCUGAGAGACGGCCAUUACUUCUAAGGAAGGCAGCAGGCGCGUAAAUUACCCAAUCCUAAUACGGGGAGGUAGUGACAAGAAAUAUUGAUAUUGGACCCAAAGGGUACAAUGAUUGAAAUGAGAACAAUAUAAAAAACUUAACGACUAACAAUUGGAGGGCAAGUCUGGUGCCAGCAGCCGCGGUAAUUCCAGCUCCAAGAGUGUAUAUUAAAAGUUGUUGCGGUUAAAAAAGCUCGUAGUUGAAUUUCUGAAAAUAAUCUUGUGAUUGAUUUAACCGUCAUGAACAAAAAUUGUUUACAUACUUGAUAGAUGGAAACAUUUAUCUUAAUGACUUUGAAAAAAUUAGAGUGUUCAAAGCAUGAUUCACAUUUGAAUAAUACAGCAUGGGAUAAUAUAAUAUGACAUUAGUU
This 418-nucleotide ribosomal RNA is filed under the name uncultured eukaryote. RNAcentral's name for it is "bacterial SSU rRNA". It matches the Rfam family "Eukaryotic small subunit ribosomal RNA", at positions 388 to 835 of the family's 1831-position model. The record is from RNAcentral.